GAAAACAAGCUCAAGGAAAAAAAUCUUGGUGGGAUGGUUUUUUGUUGUUGUUAAAACACCACACUGGUGAUGAUGCUUUCUCGGUUUGGGAGAUGUAAAAACAGCAUGGGACUGUAGUCUAAUUGUAUAUGUCUAAUUACAAAUGUUUACUAGAUUUAGAUGAAUUAACAUCUAGGGUAGUUUUAUCAUUCUGCCAACUUCUCAAAAUGUCAGUGUGUUAACUUUUUCUUUUCUGUAUUUUGUCACCCUCAUGUCUAAAUUGAUAGGAAGAAGAUGUUUAGGAAUUUGCCAUCUUAGCUUGACUUCUCAGUUUGUCCUGUCUUCGCUCUGGCUUUUCACGGAGUUUGAUUAAAUUUGAGACGGAUGUUCCACUUUGCUGAAGCCCCCAA
RNAcentral lists this long non-coding RNA (389 nucleotides) under Bos taurus (domestic cattle). RNAcentral describes it as "long non-coding RNA NONBTAT021988". Lineage: Eukaryota; Metazoa; Chordata; Mammalia; Artiodactyla; Bovidae. The record is from RNAcentral.